UCCCGUAUGUGACCGGCGACCAACCCCAUGUGAAACUCCUUCGACGAGUCGAGUUGUUUGGGAAUGCAGCUCAAAAUAGGUGGUAUAUUUCAUCUAAAGCUAAAUACCGGCCAGAGACCGAUAGCGCACAAGUAGAGUGAUCGAAAGAUGAAAAGCACUUUGGAAAGAGAGUCAAAAAGUACGUGAAAUUGUUGAAAGGGAAGCGCUCGCAACCAGACCUGCCCGCGGCCGAUCAGCCGUCCUUCUGGGCGGUGCACUCGGUCGCGAUCAGGCCAGCAUCGGUUCGGGCGGCCGGACAAAGGCCCUGGGAAUGUAGCUCCUUUCGGGGAGUGUUAUAGCCCUCGGUGUCAUGCGGCCCGCCUGGACCGAGGACCGCGCUUCGGCUAGGAUGCUGGCGUAAUGGUUGUGAGCGGCCCGUCUUGAAACACGGACCAAGGAGUCUAACAUCUAUGCGAGUGUUUGGGUGUCAAACCCAUGCGCGGAAUGAAAGUGAACGGAGGUGGGAACCCAUUUCGGGCGCACCAUCGACCGAUCCAGAUGUCUUCGGAUGGAUUUGAGUACGAGCAUAGCUGUUGGGACCCGAAAGAUGGUGAACUAUGCCUGAAUAGGGUGAAGCCAGAGGAAACUCUGGUGGAGGCUCGCAGCGGUUCUGACGUGCAAAUCGAUCGUCAAAUUUGGGUAUAGGGGCGAAAGACUAAUCGAACCAUU
This 708-nucleotide ribosomal RNA is filed under the name Caloplaca sp. 2 IF-2018. RNAcentral's name for it is "LSU rRNA". It matches the Rfam family "Eukaryotic large subunit ribosomal RNA", at positions 219 to 944 of the family's 3401-position model. The record is from RNAcentral. Lineage: Eukaryota; Fungi; Ascomycota; Lecanoromycetes; Teloschistales; Teloschistaceae.